Molecule: non-coding RNA, 868 nt
Organism: Rattus norvegicus (Norway rat)
Lineage: Eukaryota; Metazoa; Chordata; Mammalia; Rodentia; Muridae
Source: RefSeq, a predicted model, not a curated record
CGUAAAAAUAGCAAGGGCGCCCCGGAAGCAGUACGCCGCCACCGGAAGCAGUAUGAUGACGACGCCGGAAGCAGUGUGAUGACGACACCGGAAGCAGUAUGAUGACAAUGCCGGAAGCAGUUCCUUAAGAAGUGAGAAUAACAGCUGCCAAGUACCCCUGAGGCUCCAGGCUUGCCCCACAGCUCCAAUGAGGAAACAACUUGACUGGAUCUGGAACCAACUAAGAGGCAAGCUCAGGGCUCUUCUUGAUUGGAUUACCUCAAGCACGAUCCUUCGCUGAUAUUAGAACCAGACUCUCAAGGUGGACAGAAACCCAGCAACUCUCCAGGACUCUUCCAGGCCAACUAGGUCAGAUUGGGCCUGCAGAAGCAUCCACCCUCAUGGAUUCUCGGCCUUUGCGCUGUGAGACAGCCAUUGUUGGACUUCCCAGAUGAUACUGUUUUAGCCAAUCUAACAAAACUGAUCACUUCCUCUAGGAAACGCUAACUCACAUACUGUAUGUAUGAUCCCUCCACCUCCAUCCUGUUCCAAAGAAUGGAUUUCCACAACUUAAGGCAACGAGAGUGUACACACGCGCCUGUGUUCUCAGCAUUAUUGGAAACACACAGAUGAUAUAAUUCAUUCAAUGUGCCCCUUGCUAGAUGAGCAAACAAAGACAAUGUGAUCUAUCCACACAGUGGAGUAGUAUUCCAUUCCCGAAAGGGAGAGAAUUCAAAUGGAUGAAGCUUGAAGGCUUACACUACGGUGAAACAAGCCAGUCUUCUCAUGAGAACAAAUUCUACACGAUCCCCCUCCCAUGAUGUAGCUGUAGAGAUGGGAAGUUGAGGGUGGGUGUCUGUGGCUUGGGGAAGUAGAGAGAAAAUGUAAA